AUAACAAAUGGUUUUGAACUCGGCAUUCAUGUUGUUUGAUUUUCUCUUUUUUUUCGUGCUUAACUCAUAACUCUGGGGGUUUAUUCACUUUUGACUCUUUUUAACUCAAUUCUCUGUGAGCAUUUUACAGGUGUUAGAGUCUUAAGUCUCGGCAAGUGCAUUUCUCUUUUUUUUUUCUUUCUUUUCUUUCUCUUUUUUUUAUUAGGACAUACACACGUCUCUUCUUUUUGCACUUGCCCUUUCUUUAAAGAUUACCACCCCAAACUUA
Molecule: long non-coding RNA, 268 nt
Filed under: Lathyrus oleraceus (garden pea)
Lineage: Eukaryota; Viridiplantae; Streptophyta; Magnoliopsida; Fabales; Fabaceae
Description: Pisum sativum (pea) long non-coding RNA (PSAT_LNC039783)
Source: RNAcentral